AUGAAUUUAGUCUACUCAAGUUUGGAGGAGGGGAUGAAGAUUCUUUCCAGAAGCUCCAACCUUGACGAGAGAGUAGGAAAUACGUCUCCGCUUUGACAGGAACAAUGUGUGACGUGAAAGACCUCAGAUGCUGUGCAGGUUUGUGACGGUUCUUCAGAAGAAAGCACCUCCUGCCUGUUCUGUUCAAUGCCAGUCCAGUGAACAGGAACAGUACGAAGAAGAACAAAGAAAACCCAAAGUCAGUAGAAGGAAAGAAAUCAUAAAGAA
Long non-coding RNA from Balaenoptera ricei (Rice's whale), 267 nucleotides. RefSeq lists it as uncharacterized. NCBI's taxonomy places the organism in Eukaryota, Metazoa, Chordata, Mammalia, Artiodactyla, Balaenopteridae. The record is from RefSeq and is a predicted model, not a curated record. The transcript has 3 exons.